AUUCUUACGUGGCAAGGGAGAUACCAUGAUCACCAAGGUAGCUUUCCCAGGGCUAAGCUUAUCCACUGAACACCAUAUGUGCUGACCCCUGUGAUCUCUCCAAAUGUGGGAAACUCAACUGCAUAUUUUGUAGUAGUUGGGGCAAGGGGGAAAGUGUACAAAAGUCCCAG
Phodopus roborovskii (desert hamster) is the source of this 170-nucleotide small nuclear RNA. RefSeq annotates it as U1 spliceosomal RNA. The transcript has a single exon. The record is from RefSeq and is a predicted model, not a curated record. Lineage: Eukaryota; Metazoa; Chordata; Mammalia; Rodentia; Cricetidae.